CUGGGGAUAUACUCAGUUGGUACAGUGUUGUUUGCCUCAUAUGCACAAGGCCCUGGGUUCAAUCCCCAGCACCAAAA
Molecule: transfer RNA, 77 nt
Filed under: Marmota monax (woodchuck)
Lineage: Eukaryota; Metazoa; Chordata; Mammalia; Rodentia; Sciuridae
Description: tRNA.Met
Source: RNAcentral